GGGCCUUUAGCUCAGCUGGUAGAGCACCUGGUUUACACCCAGGGGGUCGUCGGUUCGAACCCGGCAGGGCCCACGA
This 76-nucleotide transfer RNA is filed under the name Microbacterium mangrovi. RNAcentral describes it as "tRNA-Val". It matches the Rfam family "tRNA". Rfam says of the family: Transfer RNA (tRNA) molecules are approximately 80 nucleotides in length. The record is from RNAcentral. Lineage: Bacteria; Bacillati; Actinomycetota; Actinomycetes; Micrococcales; Microbacteriaceae.